GGAUAGAGAGAGGGAGAGAGAGAGAGAGAGAGAGAGAGAAAGAGAGAGAGAGAGAAAGAAAAAAGGGGAGAGAGAUCAAUAGCCCCCUCCCCUGCCCACACCCUGCAGGAGGCACACACAUGCAGUGUCAGAUGCAGCUCUGGACCACUCAUAGACAGACACAGGCACGUGUAGCUUUUGGACGCGGCACACCCUGCUCUACGCUAUCAUGUCUGACAAACCCAAUAUGAGAGAAAUCUCCAGCUUUGACAAGACUAGGCUGAAGAAGACGGAGACCAGAGUGAAGAACCCAUUGCCAACCAAAGAAACAAUCGACCAAGAGAGGAAACGAGAGCCAUCGCCUUGACCAGAAGAAGCGAAGUGUUUCCGACCAGCUACUUUAAUUUGAUUCUCUGACCUCCAUCUGUCAAGAAACUUAACUAUGAAGGGAGAACAGGACCUUGACUUUUAUCACACUGGUGCUCAAUAAAAUUGGAAAAUGAGGGUUAUUAGGAUCGGUUGCUACAGUCAGAGGAUGUUUUCGAAACACUUAUUGCUCAAUGUUUUGUAUGUCUCUAAGUCAGAGUAAUAAAAGAUGACAUAAAAAGA
Salmo salar (Atlantic salmon) is the source of this 588-nucleotide long non-coding RNA. RefSeq annotates it as thymosin beta-11. The record is from RefSeq and is a predicted model, not a curated record. Lineage: Eukaryota; Metazoa; Chordata; Actinopteri; Salmoniformes; Salmonidae.